RNA transcript from Onychostoma macrolepis, 2737 nucleotides. It is a transcript of the gene named platelet and endothelial cell adhesion molecule 1b, with no coding region annotated. The transcript is spliced from 10 exons. Lineage: Eukaryota; Metazoa; Chordata; Actinopteri; Cypriniformes; Cyprinidae. The record is from RefSeq and is a predicted model, not a curated record.
UCUUCACUUCACUUUGUCCUACAGUGUACACACACUGGUUAGAAACAUACGUACACACACUGGUUAGAAGUGCUCAGCCAUGUGGGUGAAGAUUCAGCCCUCUCUAAAGAUUGGCACCUUCCUCCUCCUCUUCCUCUUCACCUCAGAGGAAGCCUGCGCAGAGUCUGUCAUAAAAAGUGUGCAACUUAUUAUCCAUCCGAGAAAUGAAGUUGAAAGAGGUACAAAUGUGUCGUUGAUAUGUCAGGCAGAAGUCAGCCACGGGCUGGGGUCUCACCCCAACUAUAAAUACAACUUCUACAAAGAUUUUCAACCAUUAUAUACUGACCAGACCAGUUCUACGGACCACCUCUACUCAAUACCAGAUGCCAGAAUGGCCCACUCUGGGAAAUAUAAAUGUGCUGUUGUCAUUGAGGAGCAAAACAAGGAGAGCAAUGUCAAAGACCUGACAGUGAAAGGUCUUCAGACACCAGUCCUAACAAUGGAUAAACUGAAACUGAGAGAGGGAGAUGAUGUUACUGCUAACUGUACAGCAGAGGGAGAAAUAGGUUCUUUGACAUUUUCCUUUAGUAAUGGAUUUGAGGAAAUCUACACGGCGAACACAGAGAGUCACCGAGUUGAGCAGAAGCUACGCCUUACUAAAGGAACUGUCAAAAUAUUUUGCUACUAUUCUAUUAAGUUGCAUAGCACAAUAAAACACUCCGAUAACAGUAAUGUGAUCAGUCUUGACAUUCAAGAGCUGGAGAUCAAUCCCAAUAUCAAAGUCAACCCAUCAGCAUAUGUCACUGAAGGAGAUCUCAUAACCAUCAGCUGCAGUGUUGAUACAACUUACCAAAGAAAUUCUGAUCUCAAAAUCAGUCUCAUCCAUGGACAUACCAUGGUCAGUGUGGACAUGACAAAGACAGAUUACAAAGUAUCUCUUAAGGCUAAUGACUCUGGGGAAUAUGAGUGCAUCUCCAGGCUUGGUGAUGUUUAUAAAUCCUCCGCUAUGAACAUCACUGUAAAAGAGCUUUUCUCCAUGCCUGUACUGAGCUUUCACCCAGCUGAGGUUUUUGAGGGAGAACGCUUCACCAUCAGCUGUCAAAUCAAAAGCUUUGCCUCAGAGAAGAUUCGAAGGGAUGAUAUAAGGUACUCAAUAUUCCAAGACAAAAUACCUGUAAUAAAUGGUAGCAGAUACAGCGGCACUGCAGGCAAAGCGUCCAAUGGGAAAUAUAUAUGUGUUGCUGAAGCCAAAGAGAUUAUCAAAGAGAGCAGGAGGGAGCUGUUUGAAGCAAAAGUUCUUGUUUCAAAGCCUGAGAUCUCAGUUGAUGGUCCUGUUAUCGUGAAUGAGUCAUUUUGGAUUCAUUGCCACUCUGACAAUGGAAGUCUGCCAAUUAUCUACUCACUAAAGAGAAACAACGUUACCCUGAACAGGACUAAGGUGUCUGACAUUCAUGAGAAGGCUCGUUUCUUAGCCAUGAUAUCAACUCCUUCAGACAUCAGCAGUUACAUGUGUGAAGCAGAGAAUAAUGGCCAAGUCUCAAGAAAGAUGAGUGAAAGGCUACAUGUGACUGUAAUAGUUCCAGUAGGGAAGCCCUUACUGAUGGUCAUUCCAGUUCCGGGAAACAUUGAAGAGGGCAGUGAUGUUACCCUGAUAUGUAACAUUCCAAAAGGCUCUCCACCUAUCAGUUUUCGUUUUUAUGGAGGCAGUGGCACAGAAAUCUACAGGACCACAGUUCAAAGUAAUUCAUCCUCAUAUGAUCUGAGUGCAGUAAAGAGACAGCACAGUGGAAAUUAUUAUUGUGAGGCAAAUAACCAGGCAGAUGCUUUGAUAAAGAGUGACACAGUCACAGUCGAAGUGAGCCUGGCAGAAUGGAAAAAGGCUUUGAUUGCAACAUUCUGCAUGCUGUUAGUGGCCCUACUGGUCCUUUUCAUCGUGAUACGCUUCAAGGCCAAGCGAGGUAGAGAGUCCUACAGCCCCCCUGCAUCACCUCUCUGACCUGUGAACCAAAUUCCCUUUUCAACUUUUCUCUCUGUCACAGGUAAAAGAGAGAUGGCUGCCGAACUAUCAAUGCGCAGAGCUACACUUUGAUUCCUUGACGGGGAAGGUGACAUAUGGGACGUGAGAUCACUACAAUUAAUGGGAACAACUAAAGAAUCCUGUGAACAGUGUAGUGAAGGGUCCAAAAUUUUCAGGGAGUUAUGAAAACCAUAAGACGAAGCAGUUUCUAAGAUUAUGAAACUGGAGGCAAAAUUUAUUAAGGCUUUUUAGGACCACCUCAGAUCUUUUUAGUUUUUCAGAUCAUACUUUUUUUUUUUUUUUUUAACAAGGAAAAGGGGUAUUAAACUGUGGAUUGGUAACAUGACUGGGUUUUUGAAAAAUUGUUGGUUUAGAUGCAAUGUGUAAAUGUACAAUUUGUCAGUUUUUGAUGCUGGCAAAUCAACUGCCCCAUCUUCUCUUUAGAACAGCAGAAAAAUAAUAAAGUCACCCAUAUCACAGCAGUUUGGCUCAGUAUUCAUCUUAACAGCAUCUGAAUCAUCUGCUUUCACUGCUUUGCUUGCAUACAGUAUGUGUUUUUGCUUCCAUCAUCAUUUGUUUGUUUAUUAACUGAUGUUGUUUGUUUCAUUUUACUCUAAAAGCAUCUGUGUUAAUGCUUUAUUUACUGUUAAAUAUUCUAUAAAAAUGUGUGUAUGUAUUUGAGACAUGAAACAAGAUUUGGUAGGCAUUUAAAAUUUAAUAAAAUGUUUUAUUUGGAAUUAC